UUAUCAGAAGCGCUAUUUGUGUGUCCAGGACAACGGUGGGAGAAAUUCAGACCCAGAGCUGAUCUGCUAAGGAAUGGCUUCUUUUCCAAGAGCUAAAGCAUCAUUUUCCUCUCUUCUCUGCUUUGCAGAGUAGAUACACCAUUUCUACCUCUUCUGCCUUUCACAGGGCAACUACAGUAUCAGGAUUGUACAUGCUUCCAUGGUUCUGAACUCCACUCAAGAUUGCGUGUUCCUAGACCUACAGCACCCGAUGGCUUCCAUGACGCUCCUGCCUUCUUUCACACCAGAGCCCACACACUUGCCAUCCAACCUCUCACUAUAGGUAAAAAACUGGGAACCAAUGUGCUCGAUCCAGUAUUGGCCAUGGACAAAACAUGAGGACUGCAUGCUUUGAGGUGGAAUUCUAUCAAAUUUCUCCCUGUAUAUGGACUUGCCGUGAUUGCUAUUAUGACAUGUGAUGCUGUCGUCCUGGGAUAAUUCUAUGAAAGGAGAAACCCUAAUAGUCAAACCUUUCUCUCCGCUGCUCAG
Molecule: long non-coding RNA, 528 nt
Filed under: Cricetulus griseus (Chinese hamster)
Lineage: Eukaryota; Metazoa; Chordata; Mammalia; Rodentia; Cricetidae
Description: lncRNA (ENSCGRG00015038445.1)
Source: RNAcentral